RNA transcript from Chenopodium quinoa (quinoa), 2070 nucleotides. It is a transcript of the gene named vacuolar-processing enzyme-like, with no coding region annotated. The record is from RefSeq and is a predicted model, not a curated record. The transcript is spliced from 4 exons. NCBI's taxonomy places the organism in Eukaryota, Viridiplantae, Streptophyta, Magnoliopsida, Caryophyllales, Amaranthaceae.
ACAUUACACGUAACAGACAUAUUGUGCCCGUUACAAAUGCCCAAACUUGGCCCAACGUAUGAGAGGAGCCCAAUAUUUAGCUUUUUAGGGUUUCACCCAAAUGCCCAAACUAUGCCGUCAUUCGCCUCUUUCUCUCUCAUCAGUCCCUCACUCCCUCUCUCUCUCCUCUCCUCUUCUCUCCUCCCCGUAAUUCAACAAUCUUGCCCAUCAAUCUCAGGCCCUCUCUCGUCUCAUUUCAAAAUCACGACCUCUCUCCUCUACUCCAUCAAUCGAUCUUCCCCUUCCAUUGGAGAAAAACAGCGAGAUGGAACGACGAGAGAGAAAAAUGGUUAAAUUGACUGGGGUUGCGCCAGAUCUCCUUCAAUCCGCCUUUCCGCCGCCCUCCUUCACCGUUUCUCCUUAAUCUCGCCCGCAAUUCUCGCCGCCUCUCUUUCACUAACCCUAGUAUGAAAGAUCAAAGGAGGAACAUGAGGAGAAGCAUAAGAUUCUUAAAGAGAUAAUUGAGACUAUGAAGCACAGAAGCCACCUUGACAGCAGCAUUGAAUUCAUCGGAAAACUUUUAUUUGGACUAAACAAUGGCCCUUCGGUCCUACGCGCAAAGCCAAGCCGUGGAAUUCCGCUUGUGGAUGAUUGGGAUUUCUUGAAAUCAAUGGUUCGGGUGUUUGAGAAAGAAUGUGGGACCUUAACUCAAUACGGGAUGAAACAUAUGCGGGCCUUUGCAAACAUCUGUAACAAGGAUAUUCCGCUAUCAGUAAUGCAAGAAGCUUGUGUUGCAGCUUGCUGUGGGCACAACUCUGGCGAGUGGCAUCCAUCAUUCCAUGGUUAUAGUGCUUAACUGGCUUUUCAGUUGUUAUAUAAUGCUACAUAUUACUGUAUCAUAUGUGUGAAUGUGUUGUUAGACGGUUAGACUAGACCACAACACGGUGAUAUACUACGGUCCAGAAAGUGACUACUCUGUAGUGUGUUAUGUGGUCAAUUUCCCAGCUUACGUGCUUAAUCAGUGCAUGUGUUCAUAAAUAUUUUGCAUAAUUGGCACUUUCAUGGGGUAUGGACUAUGCCCACUAUGGUCCCUUAGGACCCUUACCCCAAGACGUGAGGUUGAAUUCUACCUCUUGGUUUUCCCCACGUAGAUUCGAUUGGGAUGUUUUAACGAGCACGAGUUCAAUAAUGUAGGUUAUAUAUACUCAUGCUUGAAACAAAGAUUAGAUGUCUUAGUUCUAAGACAAAAUAGUCACUUUGCAACAUUACUUUUAUUCAGGGAGUAAUUAUAAAAGUAAAAAGCGGGUUGGUGGGAAAUAGAUUUGAGUUCAUCAUGUAUUCUUGUGAGUUUUGCUCAGUUAGUUUAGGACUUUAGGUUCAUGCUUUUUUUGACCUUAAGUAUAUGUGAAAGCCCAUGAUAAAUGAACACUGGCUGUGGUUUGCAAUUGUUUGAAUUUUGGUGUACUAUUUUUAAGUGGAGAAAAGCUACUGAUUGAAUUAUUGGGUGCAGAGUAAAUUAUAAUUGGGGGACAUAUCAGUCAAACAUCUGUAUGUGAUGUGUAUUGGAGAGGUUUUCUAUCCAGAUUGGACAUCUUUCAAGUUCAAGCAAGUGACCUGUCUGGUAGUUCUUUGGAAAACAGUCCUCAUAGUUUUAGAGAUGAUCAAACUCAGGCUAACAGCACAAAUGAGGGCAUUGACAGUACUCAUGUACUAAAUGAUCCUCAAAUUGAGGUUCUUGAUAGUGCUCAAGUACAGAAUGAGCUUGCAAAUGAGAUCCUAGAUGAUGCUCAACAAAAUGAGUCUGCAAAUGAGAUCCUUGCUGGGACUUGUGAACAAAGUGAUGUUGAAGAAAAUGCUGGUGUUGGUCCAUCUGCUGAUGUAAAUCAGUCGAGAGGGCAGUGAGCACAUUAAUUUACAACAAUUGGAAGUUCAAGCUGAAAUGACGCUGGAGCUUGCCUCAGAUGCGGAGAAUAGAUCAAAGACAAUUAUGAAUUUUUUGAGAUGUAAAUUUAAAAUUUGAUGUGCCAUAUUUUGAUAAUAUUUGUGUGCCUUUGUGGCCUGGAAAUCAGUAAUUGGGUUUUUGUUUGUUAA